RNAcentral lists this long non-coding RNA (1020 nucleotides) under Vulpes vulpes (red fox). Its description in RNAcentral is "lncRNA (ENSVVUG00000015425.1)". The record is from RNAcentral. Lineage: Eukaryota; Metazoa; Chordata; Mammalia; Carnivora; Canidae.
CUUUCCCAUGAGUUAGCAGCUCUUAAACUUUUGAGAACCUGAACAAAGCUAUAUGUUCUCUCCUGGAUAAAUGCAUAUUAGCAUAGGCAUGCAUUUUGAUUACAAGAUCUGGUGUCCAUAGACCUCUACAGCCUAGCCACCAGAAAAUGUCUUGUGUCAAGACAGAAAACCAUGCAGAACAAGAACAUUGCUACCCUCCUGAAUCCAAUAUCCCAGCUGCCUGGAGGUUUCUGAGCAGGGAUGGGGACAAGAAAAGACCCCAACAAGAAAAUAAGAGGUCACAAUCUGGAGGAGUUUUCAGACCAAACAUGGCUUCUGUCAAGAAGAUUUCUUCCAUUCUGACAAGCACCAAUCAGAGUUGAUGCAUCUGCUUGGGAACCUCAUGGAACACAUUCCUGGAGAGAUGAACAAACUGGACGAUAGCCCUUACAAAUACUCCUUCUCUGUCUGUGUUAUUGUGGAUAGAAGCAUGGAUAAAAUGUCAUGCUUCUAUGUUAGAUAAACCCAUUCACUUUUAAACUGGAUCCUAUCUCCACUUAUGCAUUCAGCUACAGCAAUUCUCCUCUCUCAUUUAUCUUUACAUUCUCACUUUUUAAAUGGUCAUCCCCAGCAGCAAAUAUGUUGUUAUUUCAUCUAGCUUAACAAAACAACAACGAACAACAAAACAUCCCCGUUAACUGCAACUCCCCUCCAUCUAUUCCACAUUUACCUGUCACAUGUGUGCUGCAUCUUUCAUAGAAUUUUCCUCAGCCAACAAAGCCAGCCCUUCUUCUCAGGAGAAGAUCACAGCCAAUGACUGACUGGCACAUAGGUACAAAAAUUCUGGUCCACUGCCUUGAGGUAAAGCUAACUUAGGAGUGCAAACUGUUUUCCAGAGCUUCCCUACAAGAUGGGACUGACACUAGUUGUCAGUUGAGACUCUACUCCUGCUUGGCAUUUUUUCUGCCCUAUAUUUCUUCCCAUACUUCACCUUUUCUGGAAAGUAUUUCCCCAAUAAAUUAUCUGGUUCUAGGGGACCCA